This is a long non-coding RNA of Callithrix jacchus (white-tufted-ear marmoset), 7407 nucleotides long. RefSeq lists it as uncharacterized. The record is from RefSeq and is a predicted model, not a curated record. NCBI's taxonomy places the organism in Eukaryota, Metazoa, Chordata, Mammalia, Primates, Cebidae.
CUGAACUCUUACUUCGUCUCGUUUAAUUCGAUCGGUCCUUGGGGUCCAAGCAACGAGGGUCCGGGCAGGGAGUCCAUUCUCCUCUGAGGAACAGGCCUCUGGUUGCCUCUUGUGGGGAGACGUGUCCCAUUGCCUCGUUGUGAUGGCCUCAGGAUGAGAGAUUAUUUGCAUCUGGUGUGAUGAAUAAACCCAGACUCUCAGCAAUGCGGAAAGAAACGGGCCGGCGAACUGGGGGAAAGGAUCCUUGCAUACUAUGGCAACCAAGUAACUCUGUGCACAGACCAAGAUGAAAAAUAUAUGAUUCCUAAUGUCUGGUCCAAAGAGGGAAACUGAGGGAAACUCCGAAUCCCUCCAAUCCACAUCAAGCUAAAAACACCUGGAGAAGUAGUAAGAGAAUCAAGCAGAACAACUAAGCCAAGACAUGUUAAGAAAGUCUGAAGAGAAUGGUAGAAAUUCAAGAUGGAGCAGUUGAAUGCAGUGAGUUCCAAACUUGUCUUCCAAUAAUCAGCAUGCCAGUAUGUUCAGUUUCUGUGUUCUUUGUUCCCCAUUUUAAAAUUUAACUUCCUUGUUCUCUUCCUUUCCUUGCCUCUAGUUUCAGUAAACGACCUUCCUACCAGCUCUGAUCAGUAGUUCAUAUUUAUAUUCCUGGUCACCUGCUCCAUCCUAAGUCAGCUCUGGUCACCUGCUCUGACCUGAGUCAUCUUUAGUCACCUGUUCCAUAACCAUGUCUUUCCCCCCGAAAAGACAGAGGGAAAGAUGGUUAUCGAACAGGUGACUAAAAGCUCAUAACCCUACUCUCUUUAAAAUAGCCAAUCAGAAUCAGCUUAGACUGUGUGGUCUAACCCUAGUUAAUAAGGGAACAACACAGUAGUAGGGGUGACCUGCGUCAGGGAUAAGAACUCCUUCCUUCUCCUGCCCUGUUCAGGUGUGCUCUCGCCAUUGCUCCGUCUGUGAGAUGCACCUUCUAUAGAAGUAAACAUUGCCUUUCUGAGAAAAUUUAUGUUUGAGUGCUAUUUCCUUUGUGGCACUGAAAAUUUGCUUCUAACAGAAUUAUCUGAUAAAAUAAUAAAAUCAUAAACUGACACAGCUCCAUUAAAACAAAUUAUAUCCCUUUUAAUGCUUAUGAAAAACAAAUAUUUCCUGAAUGGCUAUCAAACCUGUUGCUGACUAUAUAAAGCACUUUAUAUGCUCACUUAAUCUUUACAACCCCCAAACUAGCCAUCAGCACAUUGUAUAUAAGGAAACAGUCUUAAGAGAUCUCACACCUAGUAAAUGCUAGAGCCAAAACUGGAACUUGUGUUAAUCUGUGAAGGCUUCCAUAACAGAUCACACUCUGAGUGGCUUUGGAGGCUGGAAGUCCAAGAUCAGGGUACAGGCAGGGUUGGGUUUUGGUGAGGCCUUUCACCUUGGCUUGAAGAUGGCUGUCUUCUCACUGUGCCCUCUCAUAGCCUUUUCUCCACAUGCAUAAUCCUGUUCUCCUUUCCUCUUCUUAUAAGAAAACCAGUUUUAUCGAAUUACUGCUUAUCUUUAUGAUCUCAUUUAAUUAACCCUGAUUACCUUGUUAAAGGCUCUAUCCCAAAUACAGAUUGAGUGACAUAUUUUAUUAAUUUUCGAGGGGAGCGCAAUUCAGUCCACGACAGAACUCAAAUGUAACUCCAGAGCCUAAUCUACAGUCCCUUAACUGACUUGAUUACCACACUGUUUUCUGCUGGAAUACAUGUUCUAAACCAAAUCUGAAGGAACCUGACAAAGGAGGUUAAUGGUUUUAUAUACAUUACUAUACUUGAUCCUCCCAAUAAUGUGGUAAGGCAAGAAUCACAAAUCAUUUCCUCAUUUCACAGAGUUCAGGGAGAACAAAAAGCUUGCUGAAGAUUACAUCCUUUUAUUAAAAAGUUACAUGAAGAUACAUGCCCACAAAAUAAGGGCAUAAAGCAAGACUGAAGAAAGUGAUCCAAAAACAGUGGCUCUAAGUCAAGAAAGCGAUGAUUCCUAAACCCAGAUGACCGGUGUGUGGCAAGCCAAAGAGAAAACUCCAGUUUGGGGCCAGUGAUGAGAGCUCCAGGAAGGAAAUCUCCAAGAAAUAAGAGAAAAUAAAUAGGAUAGGCAGAAGGAAUGAGAAGGGAAAGGAAUACUCUGAAAAUCUGGGUAAGGCAAUUUGUUGUUAAGAGGAAAAAAUAUUGCUUCAAAUGGCACAAAGGUCACAAAACUGGAAUAUACAUAGAGAAGGAAACAUAAUCUGCAUAUUAGGCAGUUCUGUAAUAAAAAAUAUUUAUAUUAGACAUAAUAAUGUAAAAACACAGACCAAGAAAGACAUAACUAUGAACAGAACAUGUUAUCAAUUAUAUAAAAAUAAGGAUGGCCAGGUGUGGUGGUUUAUGCCUGUAAUCCCAACACUUUGGGAGGCUGAGGCAGGUGAACUGCUUGUGCUUAGGAGUUCGCGACGUGCCUAGGCAACAACCCUAUUAAACUACUUUGAGAGAGAGAUCCAAGCUGGCUGAUCACUAGCAGCGUGGGAUUGUAGCUCCCAGUGAAAGCACAGAGAACGAGAAGACGCCACACUUUGAGAUGAAUUUUUGUUGCUCAUGGACCAGGACAUUCCCAGCAGAGGAGCCCCACAGGUCGCCCACGUGGCGGUUCUUGGUGCAGAGUAAACAGGACUGGGUCCCCUUUUGGUCAAUGUUUGGAGCUCUGGAAAGGCAGAAUCAACUAUUAAGCUGAUUGAAGGAUGGACUCAAGAAGGAAGCCAGACCACGGAGAUUCCCAGGCAGAAAAGCACCAUCAAUCUUAACGCCACUGUUUUAGCUGGCGCAGUGGGUUGCUCAGAUUCCAGCGCUGGGAAUCAACAAGUUGGACAUCCACUCAGAAACCUAAUUUGAAAGUCGGUAAUUACAAAGACGACAGAUGGAUAAAUUUACAGUGAUGGGAAGAAACCAGCCUAAGAAGGCUGAGAAUACCCCAAAUCAGAAUGCCUCUCCCUCUACAAGGGAUCACAGUCCCUCAUCAGCAGUGGAACAAGGCCUGAUGGAGAAUGAGUUCCAUUAACAGAGGCAGGCUUCAGAAGGUGGAUGGUAAGAAACUUCUGUGAGUUAAAAGAACAUGUUCUAACCCAAUGCAAAGAAACUAAGAACUUUGAAAAAAGGUUUGACGAAAUCCUAACGAGAAUAGACAAUUUAGAGAGGAAUAUAAGUGAAUUAAUGGAACUGAAGAAUACAAUGCAAGAACUCCACGAAGUAUGCACAGGUUUUACGGUCGAAUUGAUCAAGCAGGAGAAAGGAUAUCAGAGGUUGAAGACCAACUUAAUGAAAUGAAACAAGAAGACAAGAUUAGAGAAGAAAGAGUAAAAAGGAAUGAGCAAAGUCUCCAAGAAAUAUGGGACUAUGUGAAAAGACCUAAUUUACGUUUGAUAGGUGUACCUGAAUGUUAUGAAGAGAAUGAUUCCAAGCUGGAAAAUAUUCUUCUGGAUAUUAUUCAGGAAAACUUUCCUAACCUAGUAAGGCAGGACAAUAUUCAACUCCAGGUAAUACAGAGAACACCACAAAGAUAUUCCUCAAGUAGAGCAACUCCAAGACACAUAAUCGUUAGAUUCACCAGGAUUGAAAUAAGGGAGAAAAUUCUAAGGGCAUCUAGAGAGAAGGGUCAGGUUACCCAUAAAGGGAAGCCUAUCAGACUCACAGCAGAUCUCUCAGCAGAAACCCUACAAACUAGAAGACAGUGGGGGUCAAUAUUCAAUAUCCUCAAAGAAAAGAAUUUUCAACCCAGAAUCUCAUAUCCAGCCAAACUGAGCUUUAUAAAUGAAGGAAAAACAAAAUUUUCACAAACAAGCAAGCACUCAGAGAUUUCAUCACCAUCAGGCCUGCUUUACAAGACCUUCUGAAAGAAGCGCUAUACACAGAACAGAACAACCAGUAUCAGUCAUCCCAAAAACUUACCAAAAGGUAAAGAGUAUCUCCAUAAUAAAGAAUCUAUAUCAACUAAUGGGCAAAAUAGCCAGCUAGCAUUAAACGACAAUAUUAAACUCACAAAUAUCAAUAUUAAUCCUAAAUUUAAACAGAUUAAAUGCCCCAAUCAAAGACAUACAAAGGAAAAUUGAAUAAAAAGUCAAAACCCAUUGGUACGCUGUAUCCAGAUCCAUUUCAUAAGCAAGGACACACAAAGACUCAAAGCUUUGGUGGAAGACUUACCUAUCAAAUGAAGAGGCGGGGUGGGGAUGACAGGAGUUGUAACUUCCGUCUCUGACAAAAUAAACUUUAAUAGUAACAAAGACUCAAAGAAACAAAGAAGGACAUUACAUAAUGGUAAAAGGAUCAAUGCAACAAUAGGAGCCAAUGAUCAUAAAUCUAUAUGCACCCAAUAUAGGAACACCCAGAUACAUAAGACAAGUUCUCAAUGACUUAUAAAGAGACUUGGACUCCCGCACAAUAAUAGCAGGAGACUUUGACACCAGUAUUGUUAAUAUUUGACGGAUCAACGAGAUAGAAAAUUAACAGGGACAUUUAUGAUUUGAUCUCAGAUCUGCAACAAGUAAAUUCAGUGAGUAUCUAUAGAAUUCUUCACCCCAGGUCCACAGAACAUACAUUUUUCUCAGUAUCACAUUACACCUAUUUUGAAAGUGACCACAUAAUUGGAAGUAAAUCAUUCUUCAGCAUUUGCAUAGCAUUCCACAGACUUAAAUGAAAUAUUGAUUGGCUGUUUGUUAGUUUCUUCCCUUAUUCCUUCCUGUCUCCUCUAAUAAGUACAAUUAUCGGCAUAAAAGAGGUUUUUAAUACCUAUUUUUAGAUUGCAUUCUAGCCUGAGCAAUAGAGCAAGAUUCCUGUUCUCUCUCCCCCUUUCUCUUUCUCUUCUUUAAAAAACAAAAAACAAAAAAAAGCUACUUUGAAAAUUGUAGUAAUAUCUACAAAGCCUAUAACUCAGCAAUCCUACUCCUUUAUAUACCCAAGAGAAAUGUGCACAAAUGUUCACCAAAAGACAUAUAUAAGGAUAUUCAUAACAACCCUGUCUAUCAACAAAAUGGACAGGCUAAAGUGCAUUCACACAGUGGAAUACUCCACAGCAAAUACAAUGAACAAAUUAUAUCUAUAUGCAACAACAUGGAUUAAUCUCACAAACUACUGUUGAGCUAAAGACAACAAAAAUGAGUGUGUACAGUAUGAUUCAAUUUACACAAAGUUCAAAAUCAGGCAAACAAAAAAACACAAACAGUGUUAGAAGUCAGGAUGUAGUUACUUUUAGGCAGAGGAGGGGAAGGUAGUAAUACAAGGAGCUUCUUGGUUGCUGGUAAUACUCUGUUGCUUGUUUUGAACGCUGAUUUCAUGAGUUUGUUCACUUUGUAGAAAUUCAUGGAGUUAAAUUUUCUGAUUAGUACACUUUUCAGGUGGUGAGUUACAUUUUAAUAAAAGGUUAAUGAAAAAAUAUGCUUUUUUUCUUUUUUUGAGACAGGGUCUUACUCUGUUGCCCAGGCUGGAAUGCAGUGGUGUGAUCAUGGCUCACUACAGUCUUGACCUCCUGGACUCAAGCAAUCCUUCUGCCUCAGUCUCCCAAGUAGCUGGCACUACAGAUGCAGGCCACCACACCCAGUUAUUUUUUUGUAGAGGUGGUGUCUUCCUAUACUUGAAUUCCUGGGUCCAAGCAUUCCUCUUGUUUUGGUCCCCCAAGUGCUGGGAUUCUAGGAGUGAGCCACCACACUUGGCAUGUUUAAUUUUUAAAUGUGCAUUACUUUACGAAGUAAACUUAAAAUACAUAUUUAAAUUUAUACUUACAAGAGAAGCCAAGCCUUCUUCUCCUGUGUAGAUCUGAAAGAACCUUUUGUAACAUCUAAAAUAUGUUUUACUUUAAGAGGUCUCUUUAAGUUUGCUCUAUAAGCAGGCUGAAUACCAGCUGGUGACAUCUCCAUCACAUGGCAGCAGUAAAACUGUUUGCAAACACUGCAAUCUUUAGAGAGAAAGGUUUUACUAUAAACCCAAUGUAAAAAUAUUGCAGAGGUCUAGACCUACCCUUAACUGCAAUUGAGCUUUCAUGUUCUUGCCAAAGUGAUAAAUCUGCUAGAGUUUUCAGAUCAAUAAGAAAACUUUGUAAUAAUUAGAGCUAGUGAAAAAAGAAUACGGCUAUCUCAAUAUGUAGUAGCAAGCCUGCUAUUUCCAGAAAUAUUAAGGCAAAGGUUAGAUGAGGAUUUGUGAAGGAGAUAAAAAGAACACAAAAAGAAGUCAAAAGAACACAAAACUUAAAAUCACAUAUAAAUAUAGACUGUUAUCCCAACUUUAUCACUUAUAAAGCAGAUGAUAUUGGCAAGGUCUUUCAUGUCCUUAAACUUCAAUUCCUUGUUCAAAAGAGGAGGAGGGGAAUAAUACAUGCUUUUUGCUACCUAUGAAAGAGUGAAGUAAAAUUAAUUCAUAUGCCAGCAUCUCUUAAACUACAAGGUACUAUAACCACCCGAGGGGGUCUUCCUGUCCACAGCAUAAAGACUGACCAUGGUACUGUAGUAGAGAAAGAGUUUAAUAGACACAAGGCUGGCCAUACCACAGAGGAGAUAAAGUUUGUACUCAAAUCACUUCAUUCAAAGCUCCUAGGUGAGGAGUUUUUCAAAGACAGUUUGGGGAAAGGGGUGGGGUGGCCAGGUAACAGGCGCUUGCUGCUGACUGGUUGGGACAGAGAUGAAUCAUAGGGGGUUGAAGCUGUCUUCUAGUGCACCAAAUUGCUUCUGGAUGGAGCCAUAGGAGUGGGGUUGUAACAAGUCCUAAUACAAUGCUACUUUUACUAAAAGACAUUUCCUAAUAGAUAUCUAUAUUAUACAUGCUGUAUAAUUUCUAUAAAAUCACGGUAUCUCACUUUUAAUGGUUUACAGAAAGUAAAUUCUAGUGUUAAUAAUGGGUUCUCUAUUAAGUUUACUUUAGAUAUCUAAAACAGUACCUCUUGUCUUCCAAAACUAUUUUGUCUGGUAUCAUGUUGAGUAAAAUAUAAAGAAAUAAAACUGCUCAGUAAUUCUAUUAAUACUGACUUGGAGUCCUAGAGGGAGUGGAAAUCAAUAAUACUGGUAAUGACUUUCCCAGUGCAGUUUGAUGGUUCUCAAACUUUCUCAUCCAGUCCUCUAAGAAAGACCCAUAUUGGUCACAAUAUUUCAGAAGGAAUGGGUAAACAAAUCCAUGUGAUUAAAAGAUCAAUGACUCUCUGUUCUAAUAAAAAUCCAUGCUCGUUUAUUAUAAGGAACACUAUAGUCAUUUCUGAGAAUCUACACCUUGAUAUUUUCUUAUUUGGGGAUAUAAAAAAAUGAUCCUAAGCUAGAUGUUAAAGAAUUACUACUUUUAAAAGAUGUGAUAGUGGGAUUAUACUUUUUUAAAAGACAUAUUGAUGUUACAUAUAAAUUUUGUGUCAAAAUAAUUGGGGGAGGGGUGUGUGACAAGCUAUAGAUGAACA